This 1308-nucleotide long non-coding RNA is filed under the name Homo sapiens (human). RNAcentral's name for it is "long intergenic non-protein coding RNA 2965". Lineage: Eukaryota; Metazoa; Chordata; Mammalia; Primates; Hominidae. The record is from RNAcentral.
AGAGGGCAAAGGGCGAGGUCCAACGGCCCAGCCCCAGCAGGGGACUCUCGAGCUUCGGGAUUCCGCCUACCCGGUAGCGGCUGUUUAGACCCAGACCGGCCCCUGCGCGAUAUGAGCACCGCUCAGGACUGCAGCUGUUGGGCACCAGCAGCCAGGUCUGCAGGCUCCGCGAAGCCUGGCCCGGACCGUAGCUUCUGCAAGCAGUCCAGGUGUAUCCUGGGGUCACUGGAGGGCAGAGCCUGCUCAGAGCGAGUACAGAAGCAGCCCAGGUCUUCCCAGCACCAGGUUCACUGGAAGUGCCAGAAACCAACAACUGUCAGCAUUGACACCAUCAGGCCUUUCUCUUCUAAUUUAACCUUGCAGCCAACCACACGGCUAUCUGUGCGGGAUCUCUCCCCAAGCUCAAGGACAUGAGAUGCGGAUCAGGCCCAAGAGGCUGGAUGCCAAACCUAUCCUCUCCAUGUGAAGCACCAACUUGGGGGUGUCAACUAAAAAUAUGAGACCCGUAAACUUGGAAAGGAAGACUUUAUUUCUUGAGAAGGGUUGCAAACUGCAGGCUGGGAAGUGGCACCUCCAGCUGAGACCACAAACAGUGGACUUUCUCAAACUGGGGUAUUGACCUCUGAUGAACCGCCAUGCAAACCCGUGCCUUUCAACAUAAAAAGAAGCCCUUCGAGGUGCUCACCUUCAAGCUUGCUAGAGGAGGAGGAAGAGCAGGUUGAGUUUGACAUAACUAGAAUGGGUUGAGCCUUUCCAGCAGAGUAAGGUUCUUUCAUGGUGGACAGUGGCCACCCACUGCCAUUUCUACAAGAAGAUUUUGCUUCUUAGGCACUGAGUUCCUGGUUCUUUCACUAGAGAAAAAUGAGUAGGUUGGCAAUCCAGUACUUCCAUCUUCUGUGAAGACCUGGGCAGGCAACGGGGGCUUGGGGGCGGGGGCAGGGACCAAAGACAAGGCUGCCAUUUGCUGUGCCCACCACAGAGGGACAUUUACUCCACCUGAAGCACAAGUAUUUUCUCAGUGAUGUUGGCUCCUACAAAGUCAAAAGGGGUAGGCUCCCUGGCUUACGCUCCAGGAGUUUGGACUGAAAGGGACACUAAAAGUGUCUUCCUCUAAGUUUAUGAUGUUGCCCUCCUCUGGCUACAACAGUGCUCUGGCCAUAAGCAUCCCAGGUUCUCUGAAUGAUGGUGGGUAUGGAAAUGUUCCCAAACACAGGUAUGGCGGUGUCCCCUCCCACUGUACCAAUCUAUGCCCAGGGCUGGAAGGUCCGUGGUGCUCUGAACUGGAUUCAUAAACAGUAGCAUCUCCAA